This 578-nucleotide ribosomal RNA is filed under the name uncultured archaeon. RNAcentral's name for it is "bacterial SSU rRNA". It matches the Rfam family "Archaeal small subunit ribosomal RNA", at positions 119 to 697 of the family's 1478-position model. The record is from RNAcentral.
GACCGGGAUAACCUUGGGAAACUGAGGAUAAUACUGGAUAGGCAAUUAUUCCUGUAAUGGUUUUUUGUUUAAAUGUUUUUUCGCCUAAGGAUGGGUCUGCGGCCGAUUAGGUAGUUGGUUAGGUAAUGGCUUACCAAGCCGUUGAUCGGUACGGGUUGUGAGAGCAAGAGCCCGGAGAUGGAACCUGAGACAAGGUUCCAGGCCCUACGGGGUGCAGCAGGCGCGAAACCUCCGCAAUGUGAGAAAUCGCGACGGGGGGAUCCCAAGUGCCAUUCUUAACGGGAUGGCUUUUCAUUAGUGUAAAGAGCUUUUGGAAUAAGAGCUGGGCAAGACCGGUGCCAGCCGCCGCGGUAACACCGGCAGCUCUAGUGGUAACAAUUUUUAUUGGGCCUAAAGCGUCCGUAGCCGGUUUAAUAAGUCUCUGGUGAAAUCCUGUAGCUUAACUGUGGGAAUUGCUGGAGAUACUAUUAGACUUGAGACCGGGAGAGGUUAGAGGUACUCCCAGGGUAGAGGUGAAAUUCUGUAAUCCUGGGAGGACCGCCUGUUGCGAAGGCGUCUAACUGGAACGGUUCUGACGG